This 1334-nucleotide ribosomal RNA is filed under the name Mycobacterium sp. DWMJ-1508A3. Its description in RNAcentral is "bacterial SSU rRNA". It matches the Rfam family "Bacterial small subunit ribosomal RNA", at positions 81 to 1428 of the family's 1533-position model. Lineage: Bacteria; Bacillati; Actinomycetota; Actinomycetes; Mycobacteriales; Mycobacteriaceae. The record is from RNAcentral.
UUCGGGGUNCUCGAGUGGCGAACGGGUGAGUAACACGUGGGUGAUCUGCCCUGCACUUUGGGAUAAGCCUGGGAAACUGGGUCUAAUACCGAAUAGGACCACGCGCUUCAUGGUGUGUGGUGGAAAGCUUUUGCGGUGUGGGAUGGGCCCGCGGCCUAUCAGCUUGUUGGUGGGGUAAUGGCCUACCAAGGCGACGACGGGUAGCCGGCCUGAGAGGGUGACCGGCCACACUGGGACUGAGAUACGGCCCAGACUCCUACGGGAGGCAGCAGUGGGGAAUAUUGCACAAUGGGCGCAAGCCUGAUGCAGCGACGCCGCGUGAGGGAUGACGGCCUUCGGGUUGUAAACCUCUUUCAAUAGGGACGAAGCGCAAGUGACGGUACCUAUAGAAGAAGCACCGGCCAACUACGUGCCAGCAGCCGCGGUAAUACGUAGGGUGCGAGCGUUGUCCGGAAUUACUGGGCGUAAAGAGCUCGUAGGUGGUUUGUCGCGUUGUUCGUGAAAACUCACAGCUUAACUGUGGGCGUGCGGGCGAUACGGGCAGACUAGAGUACUGCAGGGGAGACUGGAAUUCCUGGUGUAGCGGUGGAAUGCGCAGAUAUCAGGAGGAACACCGGUGGCGAAGGCGGGUCUCUGGGCAGUAACUGACGCUGAGGAGCGAAAGCGUGGGGAGCGAACAGGAUUAGAUACCCUGGUAGUCCACGCCGUAAACGGUGGGUACUAGGUGUGGGUUCCUUCCUUGGGAUCCGUGCCGUAGCUAACGCAUUAAGUACCCCGCCUGGGGAGUACGGCCGCAAGGCUAAAACUCAAAGGAAUUGACGGGGGCCCGCACAAGCGGCGGAGCAUGUGGAUUAAUUCGAUGCAACGCGAAGAACCUUACCUGGGUUUGACAUGCACAGGACGCCGGCAGAGAUGUCGGUUCCCUUGUGGCCUGUGUGCAGGUGGUGCAUGGCUGUCGUCAGCUCGUGUCGUGAGAUGUUGGGUUAAGUCCCGCAACGAGCGCAACCCUUGUCCUAUGUUGCCAGCGGGUUAUGCCGGGGACUCGUAGGAGACUGCCGGGGUCAACUCGGAGGAAGGUGGGGAUGACGUCAAGUCAUCAUGCCCCUUAUGUCCAGGGCUUCACACAUGCUACAAUGGCCGGUACAAAGGGUUGCGAUGCCGUGAGGUGGAGCGAAUCCUUUCAAAGCCGGUCUCAGUUCGGAUCGGGGUCUGCAACUCGACCCCGUGAAGUCGGAGUCGCUAGUAAUCGCAGAUCAGCAACGCUGCGGUGAAUACGUUCCCGGGCCUUGUACACACCGCCCGUCACGUCAUGAAAGUCGGUAACACCCGAAGCC